RNAcentral lists this ribosomal RNA (433 nucleotides) under uncultured bacterium. RNAcentral describes it as "partial 16S ribosomal RNA". It matches the Rfam family "Bacterial small subunit ribosomal RNA", at positions 29 to 507 of the family's 1533-position model. The record is from RNAcentral.
AACGAACGCUGGCGGCAUGCCUAACACAUGCAAGUCGAACGAGACCUUCGGGUCUAGUGGCGCACGGGUGCGUAACGCGUGGGAACCUGCCCUUAGGUUCGGAAUAACUCCCCGAAAGGGGUGCUAAUACCGGAUAAUGUCUUCGUGCCAAAGAUUUAUCGCCUUUGGAUGGGCCCGCGUUGGAUUAGCUAGUUGGUAGGGUAAAAGCCUACCAAGGCGACGAUCCAUAGCUGGUCUGAGAGGAUGAUCAGCCACACUGGGACUGAGACACGGCCCAGACUCCUACGGGAGGCAGCAGUGGGGAAUAUUGGACAAUGGGCGAAAGCCUGAUCCAGCAAUGCCGCGUGAGUGAUGAAGGCCUUAGGGUUGUAAAGCUCUUUUACCCGGGAUGAUAAUGACAGUACCGGGAGAAUAAGCUCCGGCUAACUCCGUG